UGGGUCUCACCAUACUUUCUCAGCGUGGG
RNAcentral lists this non-coding RNA (29 nucleotides) under Homo sapiens (human). Lineage: Eukaryota; Metazoa; Chordata; Mammalia; Primates; Hominidae. The record is from RNAcentral.